GGAUUUCUAGCUCAAUAGGAAGGAGUCCCUGCCUUCGAACCAGGUGGUUAGGGGUUCGAUCCCCCCCUUGAUGCA
Molecule: transfer RNA, 75 nt
Filed under: Oedogonium sp. HN1801B
Lineage: Eukaryota; Viridiplantae; Chlorophyta; Chlorophyceae; Oedogoniales; Oedogoniaceae
Description: tRNA-Arg
Source: RNAcentral